Papaver somniferum (opium poppy) is the source of this 2429-nucleotide long non-coding RNA. RefSeq lists it as uncharacterized. Lineage: Eukaryota; Viridiplantae; Streptophyta; Magnoliopsida; Ranunculales; Papaveraceae. The transcript is spliced from 6 exons. The record is from RefSeq and is a predicted model, not a curated record.
AAACCAUGUUGAAUAGGGCACAACAAUCUGACGCCAAAUUUCCCAUUAAAAUUUCGUGAAAACCAAAUUCACCCCUAGUUUAACUCGUUAAAUUUCUCUUCUCUGUUCCUCCUUCUGCUUCAGGUUCUAACCCUAGUUUCGCAUUCAUCAGAUUUUUCUUCUGGAAUUCAUCUGAGAUUUUGAGAUCUGUUGUCAAUGGAAGCUUGUCAGUACACGGAAGAAACCUUAGAAGCUGCCAUCAGAAAAUUUGAAGGCUUCGACAAGACUCUUGUGUUUAAACCAUCUCGUGAUAUGGCUGCAACUAAAAGCACUAAAGACCUGUAUUUUGAGGAGAUGGAAAGGUAUAUGCAGGCAAACCUUGCUUCCUCGGUAAAAAUUCGAACUUCCUAUAGAUUGCUCAGGGGUUAUUUUGGGACGGAAGAUGUUUUUAACAAAAUAGGUGAUGUUGUAAGACCUUCCACUCCGGUGAAACUGCAGUUGGAAACUAAUGUGCAAGAUAUUAUUAAGUUAACUAACAUCACAAUCUGUCCCAAGAUAGGAGGGCAAGGUGGAAGACCAUUAUGGGUACCCUCGAAGCGCAUGUGAAUGGGUUUGGGUAUAAAACCUCCAGUGCCCAUCCCCAUAUAGAUGUUAUGUACGAGAACAUAAAGUGUCCUUUCUUCCGAGCUGGAGAUCAUGAGAUAACGCCUCUCUUGCACUUUCACUUGCACAACCAGAUCAUGUUGGGGACAGAAGAGACUAAUAAUAUCCAUUUCCAGUUGGAGUCGACCCCUGUUGUACAGACUGAUGACCGUAACAAAGAUCUCCAGGACUUUGUUGACAAAGUUACAGAUUUGUGGGAAUCCGAGCCUAUAGUUAUCAAUUAUUUUGAACCGCCGGAGUACGAAUUUCAUGGUUUUUUCCCCACAGGGGCUCGGGCUGUCUUUGCACUGACUUUAUUUUUCCUAGUAGAGCUUGUAGAAACAAAUCACAUUGUGGUUAAACUAGACGAGAUCGAGAUUGUCUAUCUGGCACUGAUAUAACAGUGGUAUUCAAAGACUUCAGUCGUGAUGUGCUUCAAAUCAACUCAAUUCCAUUAGAGUUACUAGCUAAUAUUAAACAUCGUCUGACCUGUUCGAACGUCAAGUACUAUCAGAACAAGCAAAAACUAAAUUGGAACGACGAAGUGAAAAAAUUCAGAGAUUCGCCGCAGAAGUUCAUCAUAAAUGGUGGGUGGGAGUCCUUGAACCUUGAGACUGGUGAUGCUUGCGACUGUUACUACUGGGAAGAAGAUGGUGAAUUGAUUUACGAGGAUUGGUGAUGCUUGAGACUGUUACUACUGGGAAGAAGAUGGUGAUUUAGUUGAAGAGGAUUGGUGAUGCUUGUGACGGUUACUACCGGGAAUAAGAUGGUGUUUUUGAUGAGGAGAAUCAGUGAUGCUUGUGACUGUUACUACUGGGAAGAAGUUGGUGAUAGCUGAGAUAAAUUCAGCUUAUACGAGGUCCAUGAAAGCAACACCCAGUAUAGGUUGUGCCAAUAAUAUAUUCUGUUGGAGGCAUCACACAGAUCCUGUAAGAAAAAGCUGCUGGUGGAAGAUGGAUAAUGCGUUAAAGAUUGUACUGAUGUUGUAGAGCAGUACACAAAAAGGAUGAAGCAAAUGAACUCCCUGGUGCAUGGAAGCAACACCCUGUAUAGCUUGUGCCGGUAAUAUCUAUUCUGUUGGAGAAGAUGGAUGAUCCAUUAGAAAUUGUAAACGAUGCUAUAGAGAAGCACACAAAUGUGAUAAAGCAAAUGAAAGACUCCCUGGAGUGAAACCAGAGUAAUUAUCAGAGAGUCUCCAUCCCAGGCAUUGUGCUGGUCACUUGUUGGGAACCCAGUACCCAGAGAUUAAUACACUUAUGAAUGAGCUGCACCGAAGAAGGAUUUCUUCUUUCCCUGUAACCAAUGCCAGUUAGUUCCCUGAAGGCUGAAACCUAUAACUCAGGAAUCAAUAGAAGCUCUUGUUGCAAAAGAACAGUGAGCAGUUUACCGCCUUUCUUUGGUUAAAAGAUGGUAUGGGAUCAUUGCCAACUAGACAACCAUUAAAUGUUAGGACUUCUGAUGAUUCCAGACAUCCAUUAAAUGUGGAAGCAGUUGGUUACUUAGAAAGUUGUAAUGUCAGUGGAGCGGUGCUCUGAAAAAUGGUACUGUGGAUAUGGUUGAGAACAGUGUCGUCCCAGAUUUUUUUUUUCCCAAUGGACUCUGGCGAGUAGGAUGUUUCAUUGGCAUUACCUCACAAUUUUGCCAAGUGUUGGGCCGAAGUGAGCCUGUCUCUCUUUCUGGUGCACUAAAAGCAGAACCAUUUUUUUUGGGACCAUAGUUUUUUUUUUGUGGGACCAUGGUUCUGUUUUAGACAAGACAUUAUAAAUAAUCCUAAAUCAUCCCUUAUCUAAAUGUUUUUCUUAAUAUCA